Molecule: long non-coding RNA, 981 nt
Filed under: Vigna radiata
Lineage: Eukaryota; Viridiplantae; Streptophyta; Magnoliopsida; Fabales; Fabaceae
Description: long non-coding RNA (VRAD_LNC018454)
Source: RNAcentral
UAUGUUUGACAUUUUCUUCCUUAACAUCAGUGCACACAUGCUUGAAUUUAUUGGCAAAAGGAUGAUUUUAGAAAAGAAUGAGAGUGAUUUGGAAUGGUUUGGAAGACUGGGACCANCACAUGGGUACUUCAAUCCUCAAAGGAGACGUAAUAUGUGAGUGUCAAGACGAAACACAGUAUAUCAAAAACUUUGCCCUGGUUUUGUGUUUAGGAAAAUGAGCUGGGGUUGGAUCCAUGAAAAUUAGGGUGACACAAAAUCAAGUGAGACUUGCAAAGUUGCUCCAGUCAUGGGAUUAUGGAUUGAUGAAAUUUUGUGUGAGACUUACAAAGCUGCCCCAGUUUUUUAUCGUGGUAUGGGUUGAUGAAAAAUUCGCGAGAGGUUCACAAAGUUGCCCCAGUUUUUCUUCGGCAAGGAGUUCAGUUUGGAAGAGGUAGUGGACAUGUACAGGAUCGGCUAAAAGGGUGUCCCCCAAUUGGUUUGAUUUUUCUUUUUGCAUGCUUCUGGCUAAUUGGCAGGAAGAUCCCCUCUUCUUGAGACAUUUUUUUUCUUUUUCUUUCUUUUUUAUUCAUUUUCUUUUUUUUUCUUUUUUUUUUUUUUACGACACAUUGAAAAUCAUUUCCCCUUAUCACAAAAUUAAGCUUCAUGAAAAUAUUAGCAAACAUUAUCCAAUCUGUGUGGACUUUAUUAAGCUUGUAACGUGGCUAGGGGCUAAAAGGUAUUAGAAGAAAGGAUAUAAAGGCCCAAAUGAAUGUUUGUUGGUUAUUAUUUUUUUGAAACAAAGGUUAUCAUCUAAGUAUUGCAUCAACUAUUUGACUUUUUGAGCACUUUGCUUUUUCCUUGAACUUUGGUUUUCAUCCUUUUUGCUCAACAUCACUUUGUGAUUUUUGCUGUUCUUUUUGUUUUUUUCUUUUUUUUUUGUUUUUAUUCACUCUUCUUGAUGAAUUCUCUUUGUUUGACCACUGAGUGCUCUUCAUUUGCAAC